AGGGCGCACGGUGGAUGCCUUGGCACUAGGAGCCGAUGAAGGACGGGACGAACACCGAUAUGCUUCGGGGAGCUGUAAGCAAGCUUUGAUCCGGAGAUUUCCGAAUGGGGAAACCCACCACUCGUAAUGGAGUGGUAUCCAUAUCUGAAUACAUAGGAUAUGAGAAGGCAGACCCGGGGAACUGAAACAUCUAAGUACCCGGAGGAAGAGAAAGCAAAUGCGAUUCCCUGAGUAGCGGCGAGCGAAACGGGACCAGCCCAAACCAAGAGGCUUGCCUCUUGGGGUUGUAGGACACUCUGUACGGAGUUACAAAGGAACGAGGUAGAUGAAGAGGUCUGGAAAGGCCCGCCAUAGGAGGUAACAGCCCUGUAGUCAAAACUUCGUUCUCUCCUGAGUGGAUCCUGAGUACGGCGGAACACGUGAAAUUCCGUCGGAAUCCGGGAGGACCAUCUCCCAAGGCUAAAUACUCCCUAGUGACCGAUAGUGAACCAGUACCGUGAGGGAAAGGUGAAAAGCACCCCGGAAGGGGAGUGAAAGAGAUCCUGAAACCGUGUGCCUACAAGUAGUCAGAGCCCGUUAACGGGUGAUGGCGUGCCUUUUGUAGAAUGAACCGGCGAGUUACGAUCCCGUGCAAGGUUAAGCAGAAGAUGCGGAGCCGCAGCGAAAGCGAGUCUGAAUAGGGCGAAUUGAGUACGUGGUCGUAGACCCGAAACCAGGUGAUCUACCCAUGUCCAGGGUGAAGUUCAGGUAACACUGAAUGGAGGCCCGAACCCACGCACGUUGAAAAGUGCGGGGAUGAGGUGUGGGUAGGGGUGAAAUGCCAAUCGAACCUGGAGAUAGCUGGUUCUCUCCGAAAUAGCUUUAGGGCUAGCCUCAAGGUAAGAGUCUCGGAGGUAGAGCACUGAUUGGACUAGGGGCCCCUACCGGGUUACCGAAUUCAGUCAAACUCCGAAUGCCGAUGACUUAUCCUUGGGAGUCAGACUGCGAGUGAUAAGAUCCGUAGUCGAAAGGGAAACAGCCCAGACCGCCAGCUAAGGUCCCAAAGUAUACGUUAAGUGGAAAAGGAUGUGGAGUUGCUUAGACAACCAGGAUGUUGGCUUAGAAGCAGCCACCAUUUAAAGAGUGCGUAAUAGCUCACUGGUCGAGUGACUCUGCGCCGAAAAUGUACCGGGGCUAAACGUAUCACCGAAGCUGCGGACUGUUCUUCGAACAGUGGUAGGAGAGCGUUCUAAGGGCUGUGAAGCAAGACCGGAAGGACUUGUGGAGCGCUUAGAAGUGAGAAUGCCGGUAUGAGUAGCGAAAGAGGGGUGAGAAUCCCCUCCACCGAAUGCCUAAGGUUUCCUGAGGAAGGCUCGUCCGCUCAGGGUUAGUCGGGACCUAAGCCGAGGCCGAAAGGCGUAGGCGAUGGAUAACAGGUUGAUAUUCCUGUACCACCUCCUCACCAUUUGAGCAAUGGGGGGACGCAGGAGGAUAGGGUAAGCGCGGUAUUGGAUAUCCGCGUCCAAGCAGUUAGGCUGGGAAAUAGGCAAAUCCGUUUCCCGUGAAGGCUGAGCUGUGAUGGCGAGCGAAUUAUAGUAGCGAAGUUCCUGAUUCCACACUGCCAAGAAAAGCCUCUAGCGAGGUGAGAGGUGCCCGUACCGCAAACCGACACAGGUAGGCGAGGAGAGAAUCCUAAGGUGAUCGAGAGAACUCUCGUUAAGGAACUUGGCAAAAUGACCCCGUAACUUCGGGAGAAGGGGUGCUCUGUUAGGGUGAAAGCCCGAGAGAGCCGCAGUGAAUAGGCCCAGGCGACUGUUUAGCAAAAACACAGGUCUCUGCGAAGCCGUAAGGCGAAGUAUAGGGGCUGACGCCUGCCCGGUGCUGGAAGGUUAAGAGGAGCGCUUAGCGUAAGCGAAGGUGCGAAUUGAAGCCCCAGUAAACGGCGGCCGUAACUAUAACGGUCCUAAGGUAGCGAAAUUCCUUGUCGGGUAAGUUCCGACCCGCACGAAAGGCGCAACGAUCUGGGCACUGUCUCAACGAGAGACUCGGUGAAAUUAUAGUACCUGUGAAGAUGCAGGUUACCCGCGACAGGACGGAAAGACCCCGUGGAGCUUUACUGCAGCCUGAUAUUGAAUGUUGGUACAGCUUGUACAGGAUAGGUAGGAGCCUUGGAAACCGGAGCGCCAGCUUCGGUGGAGGCAUCGGUGGGAUACUACCCUGGCUGUAUUGACCUUCUAACCCGCCGCCCUUAUCGGGCGGGGAGACAGUGUCAGGUGGGCAGUUUGACUGGGGCGGUCGCCUCCUAAAAGGUAACGGAGGCGCCCAAAGGUUCCCUCAGAAUGGUUGGAAAUCAUUCGCAGAGUGUAAAGGCACAAGGGAGCUUGACUGCGAGACCUACAAGUCGAGCAGGGACGAAAGUCGGGCUUAGUGAUCCGGUGGUUCCGCAUGGAAGGGCCAUCGCUCAACGGAUAAAAGCUACCCCGGGGAUAACAGGCUUAUCUCCCCCAAGAGUCCACAUCGACGGGGAGGUUUGGCACCUCGAUGUCGGCUCAUCGCAUCCUGGGGCUGUAGUCGGUCCCAAGGGUUGGGCUGUUCGCCCAUUAAAGCGGUACGCGAGCUGGGUUCAGAACGUCGUGAGACAGUUCGGUCCCUAUCCGUCGCGGGCGCAGGAAAUUUGAGAGGAGCUGUCCUUAGUACGAGAGGACCGGGAUGGACGCACCGCUGGUGUACCAGUUGUUCUGCCAAGGGCAUCGCUGGGUAGCUAUGUGCGGACGGGAUAAGUGCUGAAAGCAUCUAAGCAUGAAGCCCCCCUCAAGAUGAGAUUUCCCAUUCCGCAAGGAAGUAAGAUCCCUGAAAGAUGAUCAGGUUGAUAGGUCUGAGGUGGAAGUGUGGCGACACAUGGAGCUGACAGAUACUAAUCGAUCGAGGACUUAACC
RNAcentral lists this ribosomal RNA (2915 nucleotides) under Bacillus sp. SJ-10. Its description in RNAcentral is "bacterial LSU rRNA". It matches the Rfam family "Bacterial large subunit ribosomal RNA". Lineage: Bacteria; Bacillati; Bacillota; Bacilli; Caryophanales; Bacillaceae. The record is from RNAcentral.